GACGACAUAGGCGAGGAACGCCCGCAAGCGCUCGGAGCGCGCGAAAGCCUUGCUUUCGAGGAUGCGACGGAGCGUCCGCCGUAUCGUCUC
Molecule: transfer RNA, 90 nt
Filed under: compost metagenome
Description: tRNA-Pro
Source: RNAcentral